UCCUCGGUAGCUCAGCGGCAGAGCAUCCGGCUGUUAACCGGAGGGUCGCAGGUUCGAAUCCUGCCCGGGGAG
RNAcentral lists this transfer RNA (72 nucleotides) under Thermoleophilia bacterium. RNAcentral describes it as "tRNA-Asn". It matches the Rfam family "tRNA". From Rfam's summary of the family: Transfer RNA (tRNA) molecules are approximately 80 nucleotides in length. Their secondary structure includes four short double-helical elements and three loops (D, anti-codon, and T loops). The record is from RNAcentral. Lineage: Bacteria; Bacillati; Actinomycetota; Thermoleophilia.